This 1758-nucleotide ribosomal RNA is filed under the name Triticum aestivum (bread wheat). Its description in RNAcentral is "partial small subunit ribosomal RNA". Lineage: Eukaryota; Viridiplantae; Streptophyta; Magnoliopsida; Poales; Poaceae. The record is from RNAcentral.
AUGGCCAUGGCCACCUUCGCUGCCACUCCCGCGCUCCUCUCCCCCCCGCCCCCCUACACCACGGCCCCUCCACCCCGCGGGCGCCCGCCCCGCCCGCCUCUCCGUCUCGGCCUCCGGCUCCCGCGCCGCCGCCCCGUCACCACCACCACUCCGGCCGCAGCCCACGCCGCGAGCUCCCUCUCGUCCGCCCGCGGCGACCCGCGCGAGGCGGAGGCGGCGGUGGCGGAACUGCUGCGGGACAACGGCGCGUCGCCGGAGGACGCGGCCGCCAUCGCGGCGCGCGCGCCGGGGUACGCCGCCAUGCUGGCCGACGGCGUCAGGGAGCUCGACGAGCUCGGGCUCUGGGCGUCCUGGAGCGCCGGGGCGGGCGCGCGCGCCGGCGCCGAGAUGGGCGCGCUCGGGUUCGGCAGGAAGGUGUACUUCAUGGGGCGGAGCCGGCGCGACGGCGCCGUCGUCCCGCUCGUCGAGAGCCUCGGCGUGCGCCUCUCCUCCGCCAAGCUCAUCGCGCCCUACGUCGCCGCCGAGGGUCUCCCGGUGCUCAUCCGCAGGGUUAAGUUCUUCAAGGAAAUGCUGUUUUCAAGCAGUGGCUAUGAAACUCUAAUCGGAUGGAAUGCUAAGCGCAUGAUAGCGCACUUUUCAAUACCCGCAGAUGAGGCACUCCAGAGUACGCUGUCAUUUUUCGAAAAGAUGGAGGCCAGACAUGGUGGUCUGAGCAUGUUGGCACAUGGGGAUGUGUCAUUUCCCUAUCUCAUCAAAUCAUUUCCAAUGCUUCUUCUCUGCUCAGAGGACAAACAUCUUAAGGCAUUAAUUGAUUUCCUUGAACACGUUGGAGUUCCCAAGCCGAGGAUUCCAUCAGUUCUGCUGGCAUUUCCUCCUAUUAUUCUUUCUGAUGUCGAAAAGGAUAUCAAGCCAAGGAUUCAUGCAUGGGAGAAGGCUGGCAUAGAACAAGAAUAUAUUGGUCGGAUGUUGUUGAAGUAUCCAUGGAUUCUUUCAGCAAGUGUGAUAGAAAACUACAAGCAGACGCUUUUGUUCUUCAACAGAAGAAAGAUUUCCAGUGCAUUUCUUGGUACCGCUGUCAAAAGUUGGCCUCACAUUCUGGGUUGUUCAACAACAAGAAUGAACUCAAUUCUGGUGCUGUUUGAUGAUCUGGGCAUCAGUAAGAAAAUGUUAGUGCCUGUUCUUACAUCAAGUCCACAGUUGCUGCUGAGAAAACCUAAUGAGUUUUUGCAGAUUGUUUCCUUUUCCAAAGAUAUGGGUUUCGAUAAGAAAGCAGUGGGAAAGAUUGUCUGUCGUUCUCCAGAAAUUUUUGCUUCAGAUUUGGAGAAUACCCUCAAAAAGAAAAUCGACUUUCUUAUUGACUUUGGUAUUUCCGAGCGUCACCUUCCCCGUAUCAUUAAGAAGUACCCAGAGCUUUUAUUGUUGGACAUAAAUCGCACACUGCUCCCCAGAAUGAAUUACUUUCUGGGGAAGGGCUUGUCUAAGAAAGAUGUCUGCUCAAUGAUCUCUAGAUUCUCCCCACUUCUGGGGUACAGUAUUGAGCAUGUUCUGAAACCAAAGCUUGAUUUUCUGUUACAAACCAUGAAGAAACCACUUAAAGCGGUUGUGGAAUAUCCAAGGUACUUCAGCUAUUCUCUGGAGGGGAGGAUAAAGCCACGGUUUUGGAUAAUCAAGAGUAGACAUAUAGACUGCAGUCUGACUGACAUGUUUGGCAAAAACAAUGAACUUUUUGCUGAAGAGUACCUGGGAAUAGAAACAUGA